ACUUUUUUUUGUCGGUACGGUAACCACCCAUUUAGACCGGUUUUUCGAUAUUUCGGUACGGUAUUUCGGUUUUGGUUUUUAAUGAACACCCCUAUUCUCAAGUGUUUUUGUUGUGUUUUUUUUUUUUUGUUUGUUUGUUUUAAAGUGAACUAACAAAGUUAUAUACUUUCACAUACUCAUCAACUAUUCAACUAAGUGAACACACACUCUCUAUUAUCUCUCCUAAACUUUAAACCCUUUUCUUGAUUGCAAUUUCAGCCCUCAAUUUUAUUCUUCCUUUGAAAUUACUUGUACACUUUCUGUCUUUUUUUGGGUUUCCAAUGUAAAUUCCCUCGCAAUAGAACUAUCUGUGUGAUCAUUCCUGCAUUUCAAUUGCUUAAUCAUUAAGCUCAAUUCUUUUUCCCAGAUAAACAAGAUUCCCCAGAAUUUGGAACUUUCCCAGUUGGAUUUUACCGGAAAACGAGAAGAAAAUGAAAUUCAAAUGUGCAAUGGUUUGUUCUUCGAAUUCGAAGAGAAGCAUGAAAGCUCGUUUCUUGUUGAAGAAACAACGCUGAUUUAUAUUACAUUACCCUAUGUACAACCGUAAUGGUAUAUUGGAAAUGCUGAAGCAGAAUGCAUCUCUGAAGCUUGCUCGUCAACGCUGGCAAGAGAGUGCACCUGAUGGUGAAUCUGAUGUUCAGAUAAGAAGAAAAGGUCUUAGAUAUGGUUAUUGAAGAACGCGGCCACUGAUAUCCUGUCCUUCGCAGCAUUUGUUACUACCCUAUGCAUCACGCUCUUGAACUCCCCGUUAGUCAUCACCUGCAAGUUACAGUAGAAGUGUACCUGAAAACAACCCCAUUCAGAAAGUGCUGAUCGGAGUUUCUCUAGUUCCGACGCCGAAGAUGAAAGGAGAGAAAAAUCAAUAAGCAAGUUGUUCCUCCACAAGUCAGGAGCUUCAAUAGCUUCAGGAAAUCCAUUUUUAUGGAGGUAACAACUUCAAGCAUGACUUGCUCCCAUCAUGUGACGAGCAGUGUGUACAAGGCGCAAGAACGAAUUCCUCACUAUAUGGCUGGAGGUGAUAACUAGGCGAUUCUAGCUUCAUGUAGACGAGUUGCAACCACCAAUCUAAACCAUCCGAAUUGAGUACCGAUUUUUGGGGUUAGCUCACCCUAGCGGGACCACGACCCUUUGUUGCCGAGCCUAUAUACAACUAAUCUUAAUUCACGUGUCAUUUUCUUGGGUGCAACUAUUUAAAAAUAGAGGAAAUAUAUCGUAAUGAAGUUUUUUAGAACUUAAAGGCUCUCAAAGCUCUAGUCAUAUGUGUUGUGCAUAUUUUUAGUAUUAUUUACAAAACAAAAUUUAAAUAUAAGUAAAAUAAUAAUAUAAUGUAGUUGAAUAUUUUAGGGUUAUCCCAAGUGUGACACGAUGUAAAGAUUUGUGUGCUCUUAUAUCACCUAAAGUUGAUGAGUGUAUCAUCCUAUCAUAGUAUCAUGUAUUCAACUCCUUGUUUCAACCUUUUAUUAUAAAAUUUUCAUCUUAAGCUCACUUAAAUACCCUUUACAAUCAUAAGAAAUAUCCCCUAAAUAUUCCCUUCUCAAUAAAUCAAAUAUUUUAAAAAAUAGAGAAGGAUCCAUACGUAAUGAUUAGCUAGAUAAAAAGAAAUAAACCCUUUAAUCAUAACUAUAUGUUGCAUUUAUUAUAAUAAUAAUAAUUUUGUAAUAUAAUUAUGAUAUCAAAUUACAAUCAACUCAAUGUAAUAAUAUAGAUUAUAUCAAAUAAAUUGAGGUUGAGAUAGUGGAGUAGUGAUAUCUCUUUUCACCUCAUAUCCCUCAUCAAACUUCAUGAGACUCAUUCGAGAAAUUUCCGUUAUCUCCCUCAAGUGGAAAAGCAGUGCGAGAAGGGAAUGCGCGUAUGAAGUGUGUUGACUUUCCCGCUUUUGGGGUAUAGAAUUUGGUAUAGAACUUUAUCUUUUUAUGGCUUUCAAGUCUAUUGUUGCUUGAAUAAUCUCUCAGCAAGACAAGGAGAGUAUCGAGAUAAUAUAGGUAAAACUGAAUUAUCAUGGCUGUGGAAUUCAAGAAAACUAUGAAUCUUUUAGGCCCUGUUUGGUACUAGCGUUUGAGGUAGCGGUUAGCGGUUGGACAAGAUUGAAACGCUACUUAAACUAAUUCAAUCGCUAAUCGCUGACAGCUACUAGUAGACAGCUAGCAGCUACCCCCAACAGCUACCGCUACUAGAACCGCUAACAGCUACUAGAACCGCUAGUUUUGCCAAACAUGCUCUUAGUCGUAUUUCCAUUAACGGUUGGGUUGUCUUCUUUUUCUUUGAAGCUCGCUGGGUUGGUUUGUCAUAUAAGUAGUUUGUGCUUUAGUGUGUAAGCCUUAAAUGUUCGUUGGUUAUUCGGUUGUUCCUUGUUUUAUGGCCAUGGAUCGAGGAUGUAUUUUAGUGGACAUAUUUUCUUCUACUUCUAUAUAUUUCUGGUCUUCUUUCUGGUUUACUGCAGUUUUUAUUAUCGAGUCAUAUGCCAUCUUUGCCUCAAUAUGCUCACUUGAUACAACAUAUGAGAAUGACCAGAAUAUAUCUAAUAUGUGCAACAUGACAUGCUAUCUUUCAUAAAACCCAAACAAAAUAGGGGGAGAAAAGUUCGGUUUUGAAGGGGUGGCUCAAGAGUUGGUCUUUCAUUGGUAAGUAUGCUUGCUUUACAAAAAUUCUUAUUCUAAAUAAUAGUUUCUCUAUCUUCAAUAAAUCUUCUAUUUUGGGUUAUAACAAAAUAAUGUUCAUCUCUCUUUACUUUUUUGUCACUCUACUUGCUUUCUCAUACCUUUUUUUUAUUUACCCACUUAACUAUUUAUGAUCUCUUUACCAACCCAAGAUAUGAAGAUUAUUGAGGGACAGAGUAUGUUAGUGCACUCCUAUUUCUCAUUUUACAAGGACAUUGUUUUUUUUUGCACACAACGAUGCUAAGGGAGUUUAUUUGGAUAACCCAUGAGCAUGGUUUUGCCUGGUGCUGUUGGAUUCAAGAUGACUGGAAAAUUGGUGGGAUGGUGUCGCAUCUACUUAGUCGGUGUUGACGUUCAAAAUUUGAAGUAUGCAUAUAUUAGAUUUUUUUACAAUUUUGGUUUUCUUAGUUAUCAUUAGAUUAUAGAAACUUUAUUUCAGGAUAUACUGGAAGAAAUUGAUGCAUUGAGAGAAAUUGUUUUGGAUAUAAAUUAAAUGUAGCAAAUAAUUUUUUUGACAUGAUGAAUAGUGCAAGUAAGAAAUUUUGUUUAAUAA
Molecule: long non-coding RNA, 3249 nt
Organism: Beta vulgaris subsp. vulgaris (sugar beet)
Lineage: Eukaryota; Viridiplantae; Streptophyta; Magnoliopsida; Caryophyllales; Amaranthaceae
Exons: 6
Source: RefSeq, a predicted model, not a curated record